CACACUUCAGAGCACGAUGAAAUAUANUAUUCUGNAUGAAAUUCGCCAAUGCCAUUAACAUAAAAGAGGUAAUGGAUAACUGUUACUAAUUGAAAGUCUGGUUAAUAGCGGUCUUAACUAUGAGGAUCCUAAGGUACGCCAAAACUCAGUUGGCCAUUAAAUGUGGUCUGGUAUCAAUAGUGUAACGAUGGUCCUCACUGUCUCUACAACUUGCUCAGCGAAAUUGAAUUAUCCGUGCAGAUGCGGAUUGCCUCCACGUGGACGGGAAGACCCUAUGCAGCUUCUACUGGC
Molecule: ribosomal RNA, 291 nt
Filed under: uncultured Thelephoraceae
Lineage: Eukaryota; Fungi; Basidiomycota; Agaricomycetes; Thelephorales; Thelephoraceae
Description: partial large subunit ribosomal RNA
Rfam family: Bacterial large subunit ribosomal RNA
Source: RNAcentral